AUGAAGCGAGAAGUCGACGCGCCGAUUUUCGGCGUCCGGCCCUCCGCAAGCGCCCGCGGGAGUUCGGGUUCCGGACCCGGUCCGAUCCCGUUCCCUCCGUGGGGCUGUUUGCGAUCUGGAGGUGUCCUCGGACGGCGUCGUUUUUCUCCAGUCCGCGACGCUACGGCUUGGAUGGCCUACCCGACCCGUCUUGAAACACGGACCAAGGAGUCUAACAUGCGCGCGAGUCGUUGGGUCGGACGCGCUCCGCUAAACCCAUAGGCGAAAUGAAAGUGAAGGCCCCUCUUGGGUGCCGAGGGAGGACGGAGCGGGUCCCCUUGUGGGACGGCUCCCGCACUCCCGGGGCGUCUGAUUCCUCAUUGCGAGGGAAGGCGCACCCAGAGCGCACACGUUGGGACCCGAAAGAUGGUGAACUAUGCCUGGCCAGGACGAAGUCAGGGGAAACCCUGAUGGAGGUCCGUAGCGAUUCUGACGUGCAAAUCGAUCGUCGGAGCUGGGGAUAGGGGCGAAAGACUAAUCGAACCAUCUAGUAGCUGGUUCCCUCCGAAGUUUCCCUCAGGAUAGCUUGCGCUCGGAGGAGAGUCUCAUCCGGUAAAGCGAAUGAUUAGAGGCCUUGGGGCCGAAACGGCUUCAACCUAUUCUCAAACUUUAAAUGGGUGAGAACUCCGGCUUGCUCGAUGAAUUUAGUGAAGCCGGAGUCGGGGCCACGAGCCCCCAGGAUCGGAGUGCAUAGUGGGCCACUUUUGGUAAGCAGAACUGGCGCUGUGGGAUGAACCAAACGACGGGUUAAGGCGCCCGAAUCGACGCUCAUGGGAAACCAUGAAAGGUGUUGGUUGCUUAAGACAGCAGGACGGUGGCCAUGGAAGUCGGAAUCCGCUAAGGAGUGUGUAACAACUCACCUGCCGAAGCAACUAGCCCUGAAAAUGGAUGGCGCUGAAGCGUCGUGCCUAUACCCGGCCGUCGCGGCAGGGCGGGCCCCGUGAGGGGUGCCGCUUGAUGCGGCGACGAGUAGGAGGGUCGCGGCGGCGUGCGCAGAAGGGUCUGGGCUCGAGCCUACCUGGAGCCGCCGCCGGUGCAGAUCUUGGUGGUAGUAGCAAAUACUCCAGCGAGGCCCUGGAGGACUGAUGUGGAGAAGGGUUUCGUGUGAACAGCCGUUGCACACGAGUCAGUCGAUCCUAAGCCCUAGGAGAAAUCCGAUACCAACGGCGAUGGGACGAACGAAUUUAUUAUGAUAACAGCCCAUUGAUCGGGCGAAAGGGAAUCCGGUUCCUAUUCCGGAACCCGGCAGCGGAACCGCUGUUUGUCGGGCCCUCACAAGGGGUUCGUCAGGGUAACCUAAAAGGGCCCGGAGACGCCGUCGGGAGCCCCGGAAAGAGUUUUCUUUUCUGCAUGAGCGUUCGAGUUCCCUG
RNAcentral lists this ribosomal RNA (1409 nucleotides) under Episynlestes albicauda. RNAcentral's name for it is "eukaryotic LSU rRNA". It matches the Rfam family "Eukaryotic large subunit ribosomal RNA", at positions 602 to 1722 of the family's 3401-position model. The record is from RNAcentral. Lineage: Eukaryota; Metazoa; Arthropoda; Insecta; Odonata; Synlestidae.